RNAcentral lists this ribosomal RNA (163 nucleotides) under Potamogeton foliosus x Potamogeton pusillus. Its description in RNAcentral is "5.8S ribosomal RNA". It matches the Rfam family "5.8S ribosomal RNA". From Rfam's summary of the family: 5.8S ribosomal RNA (5.8S rRNA) is a component of the large subunit of the eukaryotic ribosome. RNAcentral also lists the same sequence under 1 other name. Lineage: Eukaryota; Viridiplantae; Streptophyta; Magnoliopsida; Alismatales; Potamogetonaceae. The record is from RNAcentral.
AGAUGACUCUCGGCAACGGAUAUCUUGGUCCUCGCAUCGAUGAAGAACGUAGCGAAAUGCGAUACUUGGUGUGAAUUGCAGAAUCCCGUGAACCAUCGAGUUUUUGAACGCAAGUUGCGCCCUAAGCCUCCGGGCCGAGGGCAAGCCUGCGUGGGCGUCAAGU